AUUGAACGCUGGCGGCAGGCCUAACACAUGCAAGUCGAACGAGUGGCGGACGGGUGAGUAAUGUCGGGGAAACUGCCUGAUGGAGGGGGAUAACUACUGGAAACGGUAGCUAAUACCGCAUACCAUCGGGUGUGCCCAGAUGGGAUUAGCUAGUAGGUGGGGUAAAGGCUCACCUAGGCGACGAUCCCUAGCUGGACUGAGAGGAUGACCGGCCGCACUUGAACUGAGACACGGUCCAGACACCAACGGGCGGCAGCAGUGGGGAAUAUUGCACAAUGGGCGCAAUCCGGGUGCAGCCCUGCCGCGUGGAUGAAGAAGGCCUUCGGGUUGUAAAGUCCUUUCAGCGGGGAGGCGUUACCCGCAGAAGAAGCACCGGCUAACUCCGUGCCAGCAGCCGCGGUAAUUC
RNAcentral lists this ribosomal RNA (406 nucleotides) under uncultured bacterium. RNAcentral's name for it is "partial 16S ribosomal RNA". It matches the Rfam family "Bacterial small subunit ribosomal RNA", at positions 29 to 526 of the family's 1533-position model. The record is from RNAcentral.